GCGCGCCAACCGGCCGGCACCUGUCGCAGAAGGUGCAACCGAUCGCACUGUCGCGCAGAAGCUCCUCAAUGGCCAGCGCCAGCUGCAGCCCCGGCCGCCCACUCGCCUCAUCUGAGCCUGGAAGGUAAGCAUGAGCAAAUUACUUUUUAGAGGUAACUUUGCUGAACUUGUGAAGAAUGGUGUGCAAGGUCCAGAGCGACUGCAGGAGAGGGAAGGUGGGAUUCCCACAGAGCAGGAGCACAGAUAAGCCAAGCAAGGCCCUGCUUGGAAGGCAGCAAUCAACAGAGAUGCACAGACCUGUGAGGGUGCCGGGACAGCCAUGCAACAAUGCAGCCCUUUUGCUUCCUGAGCUCACCAGUUCCCUCGCUCCACCUCUGAGAGGUGGUUUGGAGAAACACAGCCCUUCUCAAGAGGGCUGCAAGCUACUUAAGUCCUGAAAAUUUCCACAAGGCUGAGUCAAAUCUGCGUUUCAUCAUCUAUAAGAAAGGUACCUAUCGAGAACACCCUGCUGGCCAGUGUGUAAAUAUCUAAAGGAGGACUCAGAAAACACCGGGGAAGUCCAGCCUGCACGUGGUGGCUGGGCUUCAGUGAAGCAUGCAGCACAACAGGAGUUAGCAGACCACAAAGAGCAUGUCUGGACCUAGAACCACAGCAUGUAACCUCGGAAGCAGUGAGACACCAGCCAGCAUGGACAAGCAGCAGGCACUUGCUCUAUACCAGGUGAGGGUGUGGAGACAUGACGUGGUGCAGGGACACCAGCACCCAGUCCUAGUUCUGGUCCCUCUCAGCCUUGUUAGGUCCUGGUUCCUAAGAUUCCAGGGAACAUCCCCACAGCCUCACAAUAAGAUCCUCCUUUCCUGCAUAUGCUAGCUUGGAUGGGAUCCUCUGUUCUGUAAUCAGUAUGGCAACAGAGCAGAUGAAAUAUUUAAUGGUCUUUCAUGAGCACUAAAUUUUGUUUUUUACAAACUAGGUUAGAUUCUGUCAAAUAAUCGUCUAAUGGUGUAUUCGAGUGUAUAUUAAGGAUCUGAUUCAUUCUAUACCCACUAACCAUAACCAAACAGAUUAAGUUUUCUUUCUCAGAAUCUAAUCCUUCAGUUUCUUGGAAGCUGGACUAGUUUCAGAGCAUCUACAAACAUUUCUGGAAUAUUUAACUUACCCUGAAAUAACAGACGAUAGACAGUAAUUCCCUAAAUUAUUUUCCCCAGUUGUUGCAAAAUAAAGCAAAUGCAGAGUUUCUAGGACUAUAAAAGGAACUCAACUUCCCGGAUCCUAGUAAAGAAACAGGAAACAGCUUGAAGCUCUCUGGUUUGUUUUAUGGCUCAUGAAAAAGCUUUAGCCCAACUUGGCAAAAGAAAGGCAGGGAAAGAGUUCAUAUGGCUCUGCACAAACCCAACCCAAUUACUAAUUUCAUGUUAGCCACUCUUUAUGUGGAAUGAGAGGGCUCACAGAUGCCCUGCCCUCCAAAACACGCCACAGGGAGGACACAUUCCCAUCAGCAUCAGGGGUUCAUGCUAACACAGAGAAAAUGCGUAUGACUGCAGGAGUCCAUGCUUGGUUUAAAUAGCCCUGCUGUUGACUCAGAUAUGUACAGGUAGGCAGGAACCACACACUGUACACAUAUACCACAUGCCACCACACACCAUACAUCCCACAGACCAAUGUGUGCAUAAAUACAUGCACAACCAUACAUACACACCAUACAUACAACACACAUACACCAUACACACAACACACACCAAUGUGUGCACAAAUACACAGCCACAUACCACAUGCAC
RNAcentral lists this long non-coding RNA (1775 nucleotides) under Homo sapiens (human). RNAcentral describes it as "long intergenic non-protein coding RNA 1409". The record is from RNAcentral. Lineage: Eukaryota; Metazoa; Chordata; Mammalia; Primates; Hominidae.